Daphnia pulicaria is the source of this 1240-nucleotide long non-coding RNA. RefSeq lists it as uncharacterized. NCBI's taxonomy places the organism in Eukaryota, Metazoa, Arthropoda, Branchiopoda, Diplostraca, Daphniidae. The transcript has 5 exons. The record is from RefSeq and is a predicted model, not a curated record.
UAGUCGUCCGUGGAUGCUAAGGGCUGUCACUAGGUGGCUAAAUAUUUUAGUGUGUUUAGGGAUUGAACUAUUCACCCCUAGUGUGUAGAGGGAUGAAUGGGGGCGUUAUUUAAGUUCUGAGACGACAUUCUACUAAAUCUAAUUGACUAACUAAUUCUCUUUCUCUUUUCACCCGUGACGCUGUCCGUGAAUAGUGACUCUCGACAUUGCUGCAUGCUUUUUUCUGAAAUUUUAUCGAAGAUUAUUAAAUGUCGUUUUGCCAUGUGAUGUGCUGUACAUUUUCUUAAAUGUAUUGCUGCGUGUUGCACGUUUCGCCACAUGUAGAAUAACGGUACAAAAUUGUUGAUUACCUCUUAAUGCCUAUGACUGUAUCUGAAUUGAAAUUCCUUGAUUGGUUUCUGGUCGUAAUUGAGUUUUUAUUUUUCAUUGAGCAGCCCUAUGGAGUUAGAGCUUCUUCAUGUGUUGCGUGCACGUUACACAUUUCCAUUUCAAAAUGUUAUUGGUUCUUUUCAUUUAUUUUCUUUUGCUUUUUAGUUGUUUAGUCAGUUUGAUGUCCCAGUUGAAUUGGUGUCUGUUUGGUGUGCAUAUCAUAUUCAGGUGGUUUUGUUGCAGCCAGAUGUUAAAAGGGAGUUAAAGUCAAAUUGAGCUGCAGGUUCUGGAAGCCAUCUUCAUUGCUGGUGUCUUCCUGAAAUGUAAAAGAGAUGAAGUAAUCAUGAAACGGUAUUGGUGAUGUGUUCAUCAAUCUUCUGCAUUCAGUUUUUGUUAUCAAGAAUUGGAGAAUUAAAACUUGUAGCAAAGCUGCCAGAGAAAGAAAUGGUUUCGACGGAAAUGUGCAGCAGUUUUGCGGUCCGACUCCUGUUUAAGCUGUUGCUUUCCUGAAUUUUGCUGGAGUCUCUGAAGUAGCUGAACCUGAAGUUAUGAUGCUGGUGUUAUCCUGAAAUAGCUGAUGUUGGGAUGAUCAAGUUACUGCGGCAGUGCAAUUCGUGUUGAUAAAAAUAUUAUAUCCAUAUAGUAUGUGAUUGUAGUAACCUUAAGCUAUUUCGUUAUCCAUUGUGGUAUGUUGCAAUCUGAUGUUUGUUUAAACAGUAGUUGUGCAUCCUGAAAUCAUCCUCACUCACUCAUAUGUCUUAAAUAAUGGCGUGUUAAAGUCAACUUGAAUAUUUAGAUGUGCGUUGGAUACUUAAUAUUUCUCACAAUUAUAUGUGAAAUGUUAUAAUAAAUAAAAACACAACCAAUUUUA